AUUGAACGCUGGCGGCAGGCCUAACACAUGCAAGUCGAGCGGAUGAAGGGAGCUUGCUCCUGGAUUCAGCGGCGGACGGGUGAGUAAUGCCUAGGAAUCUGCCUGGUAGUGGGGGAUAACGUCCGGAAACGGGCGCUAAUACCGCAUACGUCCUGAGGGAGAAAGUGGGGGAUCUUCGGACCUCACGCUAUCAGAUGAGCCUAGGUCGGAUUAGCUAGUUGGUGGGGUAAAGGCCUACCAAGGCGACGAUCCGUAACUGGUCUGAGAGGAUGAUCAGUCACACUGGAACUGAGACACGGUCCAGACUCCUACGGGAGGCAGCAGUGGGGAAUAUUGGACAAUGGGCGAAAGCCUGAUCCAGCCAUGCCGCGUGUGUGAAGAAGGUCUUCAGAUUGUAAAGCACUUUAAGUUGGGAGGAAGGGCAGUAAGUUAAUACCUCGCUGUUUUGACGUUACCAACAGAAUAAGCACCGGCUAACUUCGUG
Molecule: ribosomal RNA, 484 nt
Filed under: uncultured bacterium
Lineage: Bacteria
Description: partial 16S ribosomal RNA
Rfam family: Bacterial small subunit ribosomal RNA
Source: RNAcentral